UACGUAGGGAGCAAGCGUUGUCCGGAAUCAUUGGGCGUAAAGCGCGUGUAGGCGGUUCGGUAAGUCUGCUGUGAAAGUCCAGGGCUCAACCCUGGGAUGCCGGUGGAUACUGUCGGACUAGAGUACGGAAGAGGCGAGUGGAAUUCCCGGUGUAGCGGUGAAAUGCGCAGAUAUCGGGAGGAACACCAAUUGCGAAGGCAGCUCGCUGGGACGUUACUGACGCUGAGACGCGAAAGCGUGGGGAGCAAACAGG
Molecule: ribosomal RNA, 253 nt
Filed under: uncultured bacterium
Lineage: Bacteria
Description: partial 16S ribosomal RNA
Rfam family: Bacterial small subunit ribosomal RNA
Source: RNAcentral